GACGAACGCUGGCGGCGUGCUUAACACAUGCAAGUCGAACGGAAAGGCCCGCUUGCGGGUACUCGAGUGGCGAACGGGUGAGUAACACGUGGGUAACCUGCCCUUGACUUCGGGAUAACAGUUGGAAACAGCUGCUAAUACCGGAUAUCACUGCUGCACGCAUGUGUGGUGGUUGAAAGUUUUUUCGGUCAAGGAUGGGC
This 200-nucleotide ribosomal RNA is filed under the name uncultured bacterium. RNAcentral's name for it is "partial 16S ribosomal RNA". It matches the Rfam family "Bacterial small subunit ribosomal RNA", at positions 28 to 230 of the family's 1533-position model. The record is from RNAcentral.